RNAcentral lists this ribosomal RNA (407 nucleotides) under uncultured bacterium. Its description in RNAcentral is "partial 16S ribosomal RNA". It matches the Rfam family "Bacterial small subunit ribosomal RNA", at positions 523 to 928 of the family's 1533-position model. The record is from RNAcentral.
AUACGUAGGGGGCGAGCGUUGUCCGGAAUGAUUGGGCGUAAAGGGCGCGUAGGCGGCCCGGUAAGUCUGGAGUGAAAGUCCUGUUUUUAAGAUGGGAAUUGCUUUGGAUACUGUCGGGCUUGAGUGCAGGAGAGGUAAGUGGAAUUCCCAGUGUAGCGGUGAAAUGCGUAGAGAUUGGGAGGAACACCAGUGGCGAAGGCGACUUACUGGACUGUAACUGACGCUGAGGCGCGAAAGUGUGGGGAGCAAACAGGAUUAGAUACCCUGGUAGUCCACACUGUAAACGAUGAAUGCUAGGUGUAGGGGGUAUCGACCCCUUCUGUGCCGCAGUCAACACAAUAAGCAUUCCGCCUGGGGAGUACGGCCGCAAGGUUGAAACUCAAAGGAAUUGACGGGGCUCUUUGUUC